This 730-nucleotide ribosomal RNA is filed under the name uncultured bacterium. RNAcentral's name for it is "bacterial SSU rRNA". It matches the Rfam family "Bacterial small subunit ribosomal RNA", at positions 771 to 1501 of the family's 1533-position model. The record is from RNAcentral.
AACAGGAUUAGAUACCCUGGUAGUCCACGCCGUAAACGAUGUCGACUUGGAGGUUGUGCCCUUGAGGCGUGGCUUCCGGAGCUAACGCGUUAAGUCGACCGCCUGGGGAGUACGGCCGCAAGGUUAAAACUCAAAUGAAUUGACGGGGGCCCGCACAAGCGGUGGAGCAUGUGGUUUAAUUCGAUGCAACGCGAAGAACCUUACCUGGUCUUGACAUCCACAGAACCUUGUAGAGAUACGAGGGUGCCUUCGGGAACUGUGAGACAGGUGCUGCAUGGCUGUCGUCAGCUCGUGUUGUGAAAUGUUGGGUUAAGUCCCGCAACGAGCGCAACCCUUAUCCUUUGUUGCUAGCGGUCCGGCCGGGAACUCAAAGGAGACUGCCAGUGAUAAACUGGAGGAAGGUGGGGAUGACGUCAAGUCAUCAUGGCCCUUACGACCAGGGCUACACACGUGCUACAAUGGCGCAUACAAAGAGAAGCGACCUCGCGAGAGCAAGCGGACCUCAUAAAGUGCGUCGUAGUCCGGAUUGGAGUCUGCAACUCGACUCCAUGAAGUCGGAAUCGCUAGUAAUCGUGGAUCAGAAUGCCACGGUGAAUACGUUCCCGGGCCUUGUACACACCGCCCGUCACACCAUGGGAGUGGGUUGCAAAAGAAGUAGGUAGCUUAACCUUCGGGAGGGCGCUUACCACUUUGUGAUUCAUGACUGGGGUGAAGUCGUAACAAGGUAACC